AGUGAACGCUGGCGGUAGGCCUAACACAUGCAAGUCGAACGGCAGCACAGUAAGAGCUUGCUCUUACGGGUGGCGAGUGGCGGACGGGUGCGGAAUACAUCGGAAUCUACUUUUUCGUGGGGGGUAACGUAUGGAAACUUACGCUAAUACCGCAUACGACCUACGGGUGAAAGCAGGGGAUCUUCGGACCUUGCGCGAUUGAAUGAGCCGAUGUCGGAUUAGCUAGUUGGCGGGGUAAAGGCCCACCAAGGCGACGAUCCGUAGCUGGUCUGAGAGGAGGAUCAGCCACACUGGAACUGAGACACGGUCCAGACUCCUACGGGAGGCAGCAGUGGGGAAUAUUGGACAAUGGGCGCAAGCCUGAUCCAGCCAUACCGCGUGGGUGAAGAAGGCCUUCGGGUUGUAAAGCCCUUUUGUUGGGAAAGAAAAGCAGCAGGUUAAUACCCCGCUGUUCUGACGGUACCCAAAGAAUAAGCACCGGCUAACUUCGUG
This 492-nucleotide ribosomal RNA is filed under the name uncultured bacterium. Its description in RNAcentral is "partial 16S ribosomal RNA". It matches the Rfam family "Bacterial small subunit ribosomal RNA", at positions 29 to 507 of the family's 1533-position model. The record is from RNAcentral.